GUUUGGAUCAUUCCAUCCAAACACGGAAACCAUAAAGUAAUAGUUUUAUAAAAUAACAACAACACGAUAGUCUUCCGUGUUUGGAUGGUCUGAUCCAAACACGGGUUUCGACCAAUCAGAAUACGCGUUAUAUACAUGUUAUUUUAUAAAUAUUUUUCAUUCAUUACAAGGUUGUGUGGUGACUGGUGGUGUUUAUAAUAUUUCGACUUAAUUGAAAUAAUAGGAUACGGUACAUUCUAAUAUCAAGUACAUUAAACUAAUUGCACUUCCACUGUUUUGCAUUCACAAACAAGCAUGACAAUACUGCCAGCUAAUAUCUGAUCAUUUCAAGUAAAAAUAUUAUAGACAUUCAUACAAUAUCAAAACAUUUGUUAACCUGAAGCCACAGUAUCCUGGACCACAGUAUAGGGAAACAAGUGGGAAUUAUUUAAGCUAGGUCCCAGCUAGGUGUCUUACGCGGCUAAAAUCAUUACUCUGUGAUACAAUUUUAUAGUGAACUUCUACCAUUUACUGGCUGCCAAUAUGUAAAUUAGGUUGGCAGCCAGUAAACAAUGUUGAUACUUUUUUACGCUGAGUGGCCCUACUAUUGUUUCCCUAUACUGUGUCCUGGACUGGGGUAAUUUUGAUUUACGUUGGACAAAGCUACAGUUCGGUACGGGCACCAAUACACUCGGGUCGGACAAACAAUAAACCCGAGUUUCACUAAUUUGGUCUGACAGAAUGUCCAGUGGUUUCUUCUUUACAUCGGACAAUUUAACAAAUGGGUUGGACAAUGUCUGUGACCAACCGAUAUUUUAAGUCUGAAAGUUAUUAAUUUUAUGGAUUUAACCAAUCAACAACCGAUCACUAUCCAGUUGAUAGAAUGACCCAGC
Molecule: non-coding RNA, 872 nt
Organism: Paramuricea clavata
Lineage: Eukaryota; Metazoa; Cnidaria; Anthozoa; Malacalcyonacea; Plexauridae
Source: the annotation of a GenBank genome assembly